CCUACGGGGGGCAGCAGUGGGGAAUAUUGGACAAUGGGGGCAACCCUGAUCCAGCCAUGCCGCGUGUGUGAAGAAGGCCCUCGGGUUGUAAAGCACUUUCAGUGAGGAAGAACGCCUGGUGGUUAAUACCCAUCAGGAAAGACAUCACUCACAGAAGAAGCACCGGCUAACUCCGUGCCAGCAGCCGCGGUAAUACGGAGGGUGCGAGCGUUAAUCGGAAUUACUGGGCGUAAAGCGCGCGUAGGUGGCUUGAUAAGCCGGUUGUGAAAGCCCCGGGCUCAACCUGGGAACGGCAUCCGGAACUGUCAAGCUAGAGUGCAGGAGAGGAAGGUAGAAUUCCCGGUGUAGCGGUGAAAUGCGUAGAGAGCGGGAGGAAUACCAGUGGCGAAGGCGGCCUUCUGGACUGACACUGACACUGAGGUGCGAAAGCGUGGGUAGCAAACAGGAUUAGAUACCCCAGUAGUC
This 465-nucleotide ribosomal RNA is filed under the name Vreelandella stevensii. RNAcentral's name for it is "partial 16S ribosomal RNA". It matches the Rfam family "Bacterial small subunit ribosomal RNA", at positions 338 to 795 of the family's 1533-position model. Lineage: Bacteria; Pseudomonadati; Pseudomonadota; Gammaproteobacteria; Oceanospirillales; Halomonadaceae. The record is from RNAcentral.